RNAcentral lists this transfer RNA (69 nucleotides) under Rattus norvegicus (Norway rat). It matches the Rfam family "tRNA". Rfam says of the family: Transfer RNA (tRNA) molecules are approximately 80 nucleotides in length. Their secondary structure includes four short double-helical elements and three loops (D, anti-codon, and T loops). Lineage: Eukaryota; Metazoa; Chordata; Mammalia; Rodentia; Muridae. The record is from Rfam by way of RNAcentral.
GGGGAUUUAGCUCAGCGGUAGAGCGCUUGCCUAGCAAGCACAAGGUCCUGGGUUCGGUCCCCAGCUCCA